Long non-coding RNA from Acinonyx jubatus (cheetah), 5814 nucleotides. RefSeq lists it as uncharacterized. NCBI's taxonomy places the organism in Eukaryota, Metazoa, Chordata, Mammalia, Carnivora, Felidae. The transcript has 3 exons. The record is from RefSeq and is a predicted model, not a curated record.
UAACAUAAACAAAUCUACUUCUUUUUAAAAGUACAGAGUUGAUCUCAUUUUGUUUGGCUUUUUAACUGAUCAAUACCUGUGCAGAUGUUUCAGCAGCAUUUCCCACUCAAUGAAAUUUUCUUUCCAAUGGCAAAGAUCAACAAAUUAGUUUGAUGAUAUUUAUUCUAUUAAGUGGUAUAUUUAUGUUGGCAGUAAGUGGAUACUUUAAAAAGAAUGUCUACUUAAUAACUGUGGGAUCAUGUUUUCUUAAGAUAGUGUUUUAGAUUUUGUACGUUAUUAGUCCAUAAUUUUUUUUGGAAACUAAAUAGUUUCCAAAAUUGUACAAGUACAAAAGUACAAAACUGUACUCAUAUUGGGAGAUACUAUUGAGUUAAAAACUGGGUCGUCAUUCAGGGUCCAAUAAGCAGAUAGGAAUCACAUAAUUGUAACAAAGUUUAAUAUAGAGAAUUAAUAACUGCAACCAAUCUAGAUUACUUGCCUCAGAAAAAAAACUAAAGAAGAAUAGAAGAAUAGAUACAGGGGAAGCCAUUACCUCUAAGCCUGAGAGGCAAAGUCCAGAGGAAGAAAUCUGGAAGAGGUACUCCUCCCCUACAAUGGAGUGGUUAUGGCUAUGGCCAAGACCCACUGGAUUAUGAAGUUCUCUGGGGUACAUUGGCAGCUGAAAUUGCCAGAAAGCCGCCUUCCAGGUGCUUGGAAAACUGUCCAUAGGGAAGUAUUGCUUCAUGGAAUUUGCUGGGAAGCUGCCCUCUGAAAUGCCAAAGGAGGUCGCCCACAGGGAAUGCCAUUCAGUAGAACUCACUGGUGGGGAGGGGGCACUGCUGGGUGACUUAUGCACUGCUGGUUGUUGUGUACCACAGGAGCAAGCAGAGAAAAACACACUGGAACAAAGCCUGGUUUUUGUCCAACCAUCUGCUGGGUUCUCUCCAACCAUCUGCUGACAACAUUGAACAUUGUUGUUACCUGAGAAAGGGAUAUGUUUACAGGGCCCAUCUCCAAUAUCAUAAGUAAGGCAAAGGAGGGUAGAUUUGGAAAUAAGAGGAAAUCAACUGAUAAGUGGCACAAGGCAAGUGAGAUUGCUUUCAGUUUCCUAAGUGAAAGCAAAGGAUUUUUUAAAGACCUGGAAUCCAUUGAUUUCUCAAACAAGGGAAAUCAGUCCUUGAGUAGAAUUUUGCAUAGGGCUUCAUGUAAGUGUUUAAACUGCAAAAACAAGAAAACAGUUCAUGUUCAGGCUUUGGACUAUUCCUUUGAAAUAUUCAGGUACAUUUAUACAAUGAAAAUACUGGAAUUCUUAGUUUUCAUCUGUGAAAAUGCUUUCUUGGAGAAUAGUUUUCUUAUAAAAGAGACAGCCUGCCCACAAACAGUCCAUUCCCUAAGGGGAAAAUCUGUGGUUUCUUAAAAAUUGAAUUCAGAUUGUAUUUGCAUGCUUAAGGCCAAGCUGAUUUUUAUGUACUGCUGAUUCAUCUAGACAGGGAAUUGUAUUCCAUCCAGCAUGAUUGGAGGGGAAUACACAGGCCAUCAGCUAAGGUUGCAUGUACAACACAUUGUAAACUGUAAAGUAGUGUGUAAAAGCAGUUCCAUACGGAUUUCUGCUUCGACUUUGCUUUUUGUAAUGUCAUUUAACUCCCAUAAAAUUGUUCCAAUGCAGCUUUCAGAAAUGAUUCUUACAAGCUGUCGAAGUGACAUGGCAGUGCUCAACAGGUGGGCCAAUGAACAAUUUACCCUUCAUAACUCUCUGUGACUAUUGGAAUUCACUAUAAAAUAACAGAUUCUAGAUAUCAUCUGUAGAAAAACUAACUCUUGCCCAAGUGGAUCCGAACAUUAUUAGAACUUCAGGCAGCUGCCACCCCCUAGGCCUUUCUCUGGAAAUCUUGGCAUUUCAUCCUAGCCUUGUAAUGUUCUGAAUCCUUAUUGUCCAGAGUUUGUUUUGAGGUGGCGGGAGUACCAAUCAGAGAACUCAGUUGGAGCAAAGGUUUGCUAUUUCCUGAGAUGUUACCCUGAAAUACGACUGAAUCCUAAAAAUCAGAAGAAUGUUUAUAUAGUUCUUUAUUUUUGUGCUAAGAGUUCCAGUUUACCUAUUAACAUAAGGAUUAAUCUUAUCUCAAAGUCAAUUUAUAAAGGUUUAAGAGAUUCCAAACAUCACUACCAUGUUUCCCAGUUUUGCACACCGUCAUUUAUAAUUUAAGCAGAAGGAAAUACAGCAUGGGUAAAGCUAAAGUGUUUGCAUCUCAUAUUUCCUUCCAAACUGUGUAGCUGGAAGGGUGGAUGUCUCAGAUACCAGAGAAUUGAGCGUGGGCUGCCUACCACAUGCUGGUUUCUGUAAAAUUUCUAUAAUAGUGUUGUUAUCUAAUUAAGUAGAUUCUCCCUCUUUAAAUUAAUUUCCCCAAACUCCUCAUCUUUUAAUUACUGUAAAAACUGGUUUCAUUUUGCUUGCAAGUAAUUUUCUGCUUCCUACAUUUUUGUGGUUUGCUAAUUUGGAAAGAAUUAUAAUCAGUGUACUCUACCAGAGAAAACUCUAUAAUACUAUGGAGUCCAGGAUAAAAAGUUCCAUUUUCUGUGUUUUGGGCAGUUUUCAAGAACUUUAUUCACAGUUAGAUCGUUCAGUCAGAUGGUUUUAUUUGUUUUAGAAGACAAGAAAAAAUUUCUUACAAAUAUGGUAACAUGUUAGAGCUGCUGCAUAACAGAAGAAUUUCCUUCCUUUCUCCCUCCCUGCCUUCUUUCCUUCCUUCCCUCCUUCUUCUUUCAUUUUAUAUUCAAGUUGAAUAUCCUCCUUCUUUUUCCUAAUAGUACCCAUCCCUGAGAUUUACAAAACUCCAAAUAAAUCUAGUAAAAGUGGAGAGAGAGAAAUUUAUUUUUUUAUAUUUAAUUAAAUGAAAAAUUGUGUCAUCUAUAUUUUUUUUUCUCCUGAGAUUAAAAACCAGGUGAAAGAUAUCAUGUUAAAACAAAUGACCACACAAUUGAAGCUAUCCAAUGGUUUUGAAAUCCUAGCAGGGUCUGCCAAAUCUUGCUUUUAAGAGUGGAGAGGUUUAUAAGAACUUUUAUAGUCUUAUCUUGGAGGGAAAAACAAUCUAUAAAAAGCCUUGUAUUGCUUCUGAAUCAUGACAUUAUCUCAUAAAUAAAGACUCAAUAAAAUUUGACAAUAAAAAGAAAGAAGAAAUACUAUUUGUAGUGAAAUGGUGUCUUAAAGACUAUCAAAUUCAGUAAAAUAAUUUGGGGUUUGUUUUUCAAGGAACUAGAUACUGAGAACUUUUUUAAGGAGGUAAAGUAGUUCGGAACAAAUAGAAAAUGAAUUAUUUAACUUAAAGUCUGAUGGCCUACUUGUCUUUUGUGUUGUGUAUCAUUUUGACUGGAACUUGCCAAGAUAUUUGGUUAAACAUUAUUUCUGGGUGUGCCUGUGAAAGAGAGUCCAGUUGACAUUAGCAUUUGAAUUGGUAGAUUCGGUAGAGCAGCGUGUCUUCCCCAAAGUGGAUGUGCAUCAUCCCACAUUGAAUAGAACAAAAUAGGUGGAGGAAGGGAGAAUUUGCCCCUUCUGCCUGACCGAACUCAGACAUCGAUUUUCCCCUGCCCUCUGACUUACACCACAGGUUGCCCUGGUUCUCAAGCCUUUGGACUCUGACCGAACUACAUCAUCAGUUUUCCUGGGUCUCCAGCCUACAGACAGCAGAUGGUGGGAUUUUCAGUCUCCAUAAUCAUGGGCAGAGAGAGAGGGAGACACAGAAUCUGAAGCAAGCUCCAUGCUGAGACCAGAGAUCCUGAUGCGGGACUCAAACCCAUGAACAGUGAGAUCAUGACCUGAGCCGAAGCCGGAUGCCCAACCAACUGAGCCAUCCAGAGAGAGACAGAGCACAAGCAGGGGACGAGCAGAGAGAGAGGGAGACACAGAAUCCAAAGCAGGCUCCAGGUUCCGAGCUGUCAGCACAGAGCCCGAUGUUGGGCUCAAACUCACGGACCCUGAGAUCACGACCCGAGCUGAGGUCGCCACCUAACCAGCUGAGCCACCCAGUCUCCCCUGCCCUCUUUAAAUAGUAAGUAUGUGCCAGUUGAUUUUUGACAAAUGUGCUAAGGUAAUCCAAGUGGGAAAGUCUGGUCUUACCAAGAAAUCGUUCUGGGUUGUGGACCUCUUUGCAAUAGGCAAAACAACAACACUUCUAGAAUAAAACAUAAAAGAAAAUCUUCAUGAACUUAGGUUAAGCAAAGAUUUCCUAGACAAACAUCAAAAGCAUAAUUAAUAAUAAAACAACAAUUUGGACUUGAGCAAAAAUUAAAUGAAUUCUAAAUGCCACCAUUAAGAAAUUGAAAAGACAAAUACAUGGAGAGUACUACUAUGAAUACUGACUAUCUGGGUUCUCUCUAAUGAAAGCUUCUUCAUCUAGUAUCCUCCAGUCAAAAGGAGGGCUAGUUCCUUUAUGUUGUCUGUUGUUUACAUUUCUCUUUAUUCCGUGUUUUAGUCACUGACAUAUGUCAAGUGAUCCUCCACCUGUAUAAUUCUUGUAUUGACUCUUUCUUGACCAUCAGUCUCCUUGAUAUAGAUUAGUUUAAGCAAUGUUCCACACAGUGUAUUCUAGCCCCUUAUGAUAAAUAUAUCCUGUUAUCUUCUCAUUUUUGUAAUGAUGGGCGUGAUUUGAGUAGAAAGUGUGAUCUGCAUGUUCAGAUAGGAUUAGAAAGAUCAGUUUUCACAGGUGAAUGUUACACUUUGGACUAUAACUAUAGUCUUUCUCUAUAUACCUGUUGCUAUAGUCACUAUUCAAGUGUGUAUUACAGUUGAAACAGGCCUCCUGGGCACAUAUUUUGCCUGUAAGCUUUGCUUAAAAAUAUGGCUCAAUAAAAUUUCUUAUGGCUAUGGAACAUUCAGUUCUGUUGGCAACAGUGUUUUUCCACCUAUUAUGUAUUGCUUGUGACUGAGCUUCAGUGAAUCUCUACAUAUGUUUUUUUUUUCCUCUCUAGUUAUACUUACCCAUUUUUAGCCUCAGUACUACAAGUGAUAUUUCUCCUACUGCCAACAUUUUUGUAUGUCCAACUCCAUAGUUUUAACUUAUUUUCCGAUGAAAGACUCUUUAACAUAGUAGGCUAGUAAUGAUAAUGUUCAAGGAUACUAAAUAAGAUUACAGAGGAAGGGUCUUCAAUAUGCAAUAUUUAAAUAAGCAAUUCAAAAUUUAAAAAAUAUAAAAUUGUGUGUAAUUGUAUCCUUUUAUUCUUAUGAUUUGAGAUACAUAUAUGAAGAAAGUUUUUAAAAUAUUAGCUUUUUUUCACUAUUUCAUGUCUUUAUUUUUAAUAUUCUUUCUUUAUUUCCUUAAAAAAAUUUAUGUUUAUUUUUGAGAGGCAGAGAGAGAGAGUGUUAGCGGGGAAUGGGCAAAGAGAGAGAGAGAGAGAGAGAGAGAGAGAGAGAAGACACAGGAUCCAAAGCAGGCUCCAGGCUCUGAGCUGUCAUCACAGAGCCUGAUGUGGGGCUGGAACUCAGGAACUGCGAGAUCAUGACCUGAGCCAAAGUUGGUACUGAAGCAACUAAGCCACCCAGGCACCCCUUUAAUAUUAUUUCUUAAAAGGUUAAUCUUACAUAGCAGGAGAGUGCCAUAGCCAUGACUUAAGCCAUAGAUAAGAUUCAAAAUAGUGGCUUUUGGCUACAGUUUAUUUGUUAUAACUAGGAUGAUCACAACCAUAAUUUUGAUGAUGAUGCUAAUAUUUUUUAUGAUGGCUUUUGCCGUGGGGCAAUAUGCUGGGCAUAUUGUUCUUGAAUGUCAUCCAGGAAACUCUUUGAGAAUUACAGAGGCUUGAACAAUAUUCCAGAAACUUAUCUAUAAAAUAGACAUCAAUCACCAG